CCUACGGGGGGCAGCAGUGGGGAAUCUUGCACAAUGGACGAAAGUCUGAUGCAGCAACGCCGCGUGGGGGAUGAAGCUUUUCGGAGUGUAAACCCCUUUCGACCCGGAAGCGGUACGGGUAUAAGAAGCCCCGGCUAACUACGUGCCAGCAGCCGCGGUAAUACGUAGGGGGCCAGCGUUGCUCGGAAUUACUGGGCGUAAAGGGUCCGUAGGCGGUGUGGCAAGUCGGGAGUGAAAUCUCUGGGCUUAACCCAGAGGCUGCUUCCGAAACUGCCAUGCUAGAGUGUGAGAGAGGCGAGUGGAAUUACGGGUGUAGCGGUGAAAUGCGUAGAUAUCCGUAGGAACAUCCGAGGCGAAGGCGGCUCGCUGGUCCAACUGACGCUGAGGGACGAAAGCUAGGGGAGCAAACAGGAUUAGAUACCCUUGUAGUC
This 431-nucleotide ribosomal RNA is filed under the name uncultured bacterium. RNAcentral's name for it is "partial 16S ribosomal RNA". It matches the Rfam family "Bacterial small subunit ribosomal RNA", at positions 338 to 795 of the family's 1533-position model. The record is from RNAcentral.